CUGCUGGUGAUAUAUAUAGAUAUAUAUAUAUAUAUAGAUAUAUAUAUAUAGAUAUAUAUAUAUAUCACCAGCAGUG
This 76-nucleotide microRNA precursor is filed under the name Podarcis lilfordi (Lilford's wall lizard). The record is from RNAcentral. Lineage: Eukaryota; Metazoa; Chordata; Lepidosauria; Squamata; Lacertidae.